RNAcentral lists this long non-coding RNA (241 nucleotides) under Elaeis guineensis (African oil palm). RNAcentral describes it as "long non-coding RNA (EGUI_LNC070987)". The record is from RNAcentral. Lineage: Eukaryota; Viridiplantae; Streptophyta; Magnoliopsida; Arecales; Arecaceae.
AACAGUUUCGCAGUCCACAGGCACGGUUCAUAGGUGAGGCAGAAGAAAUUUGUACGAUUCAACAGUCCAAAUUCAAACUGAACUAGAUCCGACGGUCCACAUUCGUUGUCAGUUAAAAGAAAGAGAUUUGAGCAUGAUUCGAUGGUCAAAAAUCCAUCCGAUGGCUGAUCCGAUGCCUGAUUCGAUGGCUAGCAUUCAUCCUGAGUUUGAAUAGGAGAUAAAGGGUGCUGAUUGAUGGCCC